AUGCUGUUUAUGGCUUGUGGGGUAAUGGCUCCAGCAGAGCUAAUAGUCGGCACCAGUCUGGACAUCAUUGCAGGAGAAAGAUUCACUUCUCACGGAGAUGACUACUGCAGUUGCCCCAGCCUGUGUGAGGUCUCCGCGAGGGUCACUCUCCUGACAUCUUGCAGUAGUUACCUGAUAGUUGCUUCUGGUUGGAGAAUCAUACAUGAAAAUAUGCCUCUUCACUGCAAAUAAGGGCUGUUUAUAUAUCAAGUAUGUUAACUUUUAUGAUUGAAGUUACACAGUUGUAAGAUGAAUUUUGUACAGCUAUUGCUAUUAUAAUAUAAAUACAAUACCAAUAUGUUUUUCAUGCUGUUGUAGUCAAAAUGCAAUACAAAUCCUUUGAAAAUAUUCAUGGGAAAAUAUUUUGCUUUUAAAGAUGUCUGCAUUCUAUAUCUGUCUAUUUUUCCAUAGAAGUAUUAUCACUUGACUUGCAUUAAAACAUGCUAUCGUUAAAGCCCGCCUUAUGCAAGCAUCCGUGUUUGGUUCUGAUACUCAGUGGUAAAAACCUGAACUGUCCAGGCUAAUUAUUCUGUUCAGAUGACAGCGGUCCCAUGUAGUCACUUCCAUAAAUACAUUAGAAGAUGAAUGAUGCCAAGGCAAAUUUUUAUUUCACUUACAGACCCACAGUGUACCUUUUCUGUUGAUGAUCAGCAUUCCUGGGCUGUAAUUUUGGACUCUUCAUUAUCAUCAUCUCAGCUAAAACCACCACAGCAUGUGAUAUUUUUACAUAAUUAAACUUUGUCUCUAUCCUUGGCUUAUUACCCAAGCCACUGAAGUCCUUUCCAAACCCCUCAGGGCAAUGGUUAUGGAAAGAGUUCCUACAAACUGUAGGGACCAGUGGACUAUCUAUUAAGUAGGAACCAUGCCUUUUUGUGUUGGUGGUGUUGUUUUUACUGGGGAAAUUUGGUGUUUGUUGUCUAUGUCUAUAUCACUUCAGUAGUUUUGUGAUUAAACUGUCUUGAGUGCUACGUCAUGUCAAGUGCAAGUCAUUUUAACUUCUGAGGAGACUCAAAGACCAUGGUAAAGGCAGAAGGACCAUGAACUACACCAAGGUGGGAUGCAGUGCAGGCAUAAAGCAGCAUGUGCCUUAUCACCCACUGUAAGGUGUGGUCUCUGCUCACAAGGCUCAGACCAAGUGUGCCAUCUCUGACAAGGUGUUAGUAUGGGAUGUUUAAGUAUUCUUUCAGUUAAA
Molecule: long non-coding RNA, 1231 nt
Filed under: Anser cygnoides (Swan goose)
Lineage: Eukaryota; Metazoa; Chordata; Aves; Anseriformes; Anatidae
Description: lncRNA (ENSACDG00005007708.1)
Source: RNAcentral